RNAcentral lists this unclassified non-coding RNA (359 nucleotides) under uncultured bacterium. Its description in RNAcentral is "contains 16S-23S intergenic spacer region". The record is from RNAcentral.
UCCGGUUUAGACCGGCGGUCUCCCUAGAGAUGUCAACACAGGAUAAGGGUUGCGCUCGUUGCGGGACUUAACCCAACAUCUCACGACACGAGCUGACGACAGCCAUGCACCACCUGUAUCCGGCCCCGAAGGACACCCUAUCUCUAGAGCUUUUCCGGACAUGUCAAACCCAGGUAAGGUCCUUCGCGUUGCAUCGAAUUAAGCAACACGCUCCGCUGCUUGUGCGGGCCCCCGUCAAUUCCUUUGAGUUUCAACCUUGCGGUCGUACUCCCCAGGCGGGGUACUUCCUGCGUUAGCGCCGGCACCCAGAGGGUCGCUCCCCCAGGCACCUAGUACCCAUCGUUUACGGCGUGGACUAC